RNAcentral lists this ribosomal RNA (1044 nucleotides) under Triticum aestivum (bread wheat). RNAcentral describes it as "partial small subunit ribosomal RNA". Lineage: Eukaryota; Viridiplantae; Streptophyta; Magnoliopsida; Poales; Poaceae. The record is from RNAcentral.
AUGGCUUGCUACCCCUGCAACCCCCUCCUUCACCUCCCUAUAGGCACCAACAUCAUCCUAGCUGGCCCUCUCCAUGCUCGUCGUGGCUAUGUGGUACUAGAAGGAGAACUUCCCAUGGUGUGCAAUGAGUGGGCUAUCGCCACCUUGGUUCCGGAAGUUUCUGCUGAAGAGUUCCAUGGUGCCAUUGCUCUGAUCAUCAACUACCUUGAAGGGCGUGGAUGGCGCAUCAACUACACCUCUCGCUGCGGUAUGGGUACGGCUCUUGUCCAAUUUACCACUGCUUGCUCUAGAGAUACGGCCAUCAGUCUUAGCCGGUUUCAGAUUGGAGACUCUGUUUUGAGGAUUACUAGGUAGGACAAAGGAUUGAACUAUCAUAGCAUUGCUUUUACUCAUGAUGUUUGGAUCUUGAUGAUGAACUACCCCCUGGAAUGUUGGGAUGUUGGGGUUAUCAGUCGCGCAGUAUCUCCUUAUGGUAGAUUUCUCAUUUGGAACAAGGAUCCUAGAGACAAAACUAGAGUUAUAGUGAAGCUCGGAGUUUUUAAUGUUGACACUAUUCCCAUCAGCAUUGUUGUGCUUUGCAAUCUAGAUGACGUUGGCUAUGGGGAUUCAUGGACUCCGACUUACAUCGUCUCUAGAGAUUUGAUUGGGCAGCAGGGUGGUGAUGAGGAUGCACUCCCACAUGAUGGUGGCAAUCCACACCCAUUGCCUCAUGUUCAUGGAGGAUUUUGGCAUGAUAAUGUGCUUGGCAACAUCCCAAUGGAUCAAGUUGUUAUUAACCCACACAAUGGAAACCUAGGUGCUCCUUAUGAAGAUGUUCAUGUUGUCAACAAUAACAACAAUGUUAAUCAUGAGGCAGAGUCUGAUGAGCUAUCUGAGCAGAUUCCUAUUGGUGGGAAUUCAGUUUCUGUUCUGAAUGAAGUUGGUCUAAAUGCUCCUGGUAUGAAUGAUGUUAUUGGAAAUGAAGCUGUUGUGGAUGUUGUGGAGCAGAUGCAUGACACCAUUGGGCCUGAUUACAUCCCACUUGAUCAGGCACAAGAUCAAUAG